AGACUCCGCCCCUACUAAAGAAUUCAAGAAGACGUUCUCUUUCCUCAGCGCUUUGUUAAACAAAUUCUUGGAGAGGGCGAGAGUGGUGACUAAAGAGAGGAGCCUUUCCUCCCCUUUUGCCUGCGCUCCGGCGCGCGGAGAGCCUUUGGAAGGAAUUGGGCCAUGAGAAGAGCCCUCAUGAAUGGGAUUAGUUCCCUUAUAAGAAGAGACACCAAGGAAGUGAUCUUUCUCUGCCCUCUGCUAUGUGAAGACAAGGUCAUCUGCAGUUUUUUGUUGUUGUUGAUGAUCUUCCUGUCAUAGACAAUGCUGUAACAAACAGACUAAUUGUUCACUGUUGACAUAUAGAAGUACUACUGAUUGGCCAGACAUAGUGGCUCAUGCCUGGAAUCCCAGCACUUUGGGAGGCCAAGGCAGGUGGAUCACUUGAGCCCAGAAGUUUGAGACCAGCCUGGGCAACAUGAUGAAACCCCAUCUCUACAAAAUAAAUAGAAAAAUUAGCUGGGUAUGGUGGCAUGUGCCAGUAGUCCCAGCUACAUGGGAGCCUGAGGUGGGAGGACGACUUGAGCCCAGGAGGUGGAGGUUACAGUGAGCUGAGAUCAUGCCACUGCACUCCAGCCUGGGUGACAGAGUGGGACUCUGUCUAAAAAAAAAAUUGUAUUAUCUGUAAACGGAAAUAUAAAUAAUUUAACUUCUUCUUUUCCAA
Molecule: long non-coding RNA, 703 nt
Filed under: Homo sapiens (human)
Lineage: Eukaryota; Metazoa; Chordata; Mammalia; Primates; Hominidae
Description: EDIL3 divergent transcript
Source: RNAcentral